This 442-nucleotide ribosomal RNA is filed under the name uncultured bacterium. RNAcentral's name for it is "partial 16S ribosomal RNA". It matches the Rfam family "Bacterial small subunit ribosomal RNA", at positions 338 to 795 of the family's 1533-position model. The record is from RNAcentral.
CCUACGGGAGACAGCAGUGGGGAAUAUUGGGCAAUGGGCGCAAGCCUGACCCAGCAACGCCGCGUGAAGGAAGAAGGCUUUCUGGUUGUAAACUUCUUUUCUGGGGGACGAACAAUUGACGGUACCCCAGGAAUAAGCCACGGCUAACUACGUGCCAUCAGCCGCGGGAAUACGUAGGUGGCAAGCGUUAUCCGGAUUUAUUGGGUGUAAAGGGCGUGUAGGCGGGAAUGCAAGUCAGAUGUGAAAACUCAGGGCUCAACCCUGAGCCUGCAUUUGAAACUGUGUUUCUGGAGUGCGGGAGAGGCAAUCGGAAUGCCGGGUGUAGCGGUGAAAUGCGUAGAUAUACGGAGGAACACCAGUGGCGAAGGCGGAUUGCUGGACAGUAACUGACGCUGAGGCGCGAAAGCGUGGGGAGCGAACAGGAUUAGAUACCCUUGUAGUC